Molecule: ribosomal RNA, 521 nt
Filed under: uncultured bacterium
Lineage: Bacteria
Description: bacterial SSU rRNA
Rfam family: Bacterial small subunit ribosomal RNA
Source: RNAcentral
GAUGAGCAUGCGUCCCAUUAGCUAGUUGGUAAGGUAACGGCUUACCAAGGCAACGAUGGGUAGGGGUCCUGAGAGGGAGAUCCCCCACACUGGUACUGAGACACGGACCAGACUCCUACGGGAGGCAGCAGUGAGGAAUAUUGGUCAAUGGGCGCAAGCCUGAACCAGCCAUGCCGCGUGCAGGAUGACGGUCCUAUGGAUUGUAAACUGCUUUUGCACAGGAAGAAACACUGAUUCGUGAAUCAGCUUGACGGUACUGUGAGAAUAAGGAUCGGCUAACUCCGUGCCAGCAGCCGCGGUAAUACGGAGGAUCCAAGCGUUAUCCGGAAUCAUUGGGUUUAAAGGGUCCGUAGGCGGUUUGGUAAGUCAGUGGUGAAAGCCCAUCGCUCAACGGUGGAACGGCCAUUGAUACUGCUAAACUUGAAUUAUUAGGAAGUAACUAGAAUAUGUAGUGUAGCGGUGAAAUGCUUAGAGAUUACAUGGAAUACCAAUUGCGAAGGCAGGUUACUACUAAUGGAUUG